AGUUGCUAACGCGUGAAGGCGAGCACUCUAGACGAACUGCCGUUGACAAAACGGAGGAAGGUGGGAUGACGUCAAAUCAUCAUGCCCUUAUGUUCUGGGCUACACACGUGCUACAAUGGCCGGUACAGACGGACGCAAAGCCGCGAGGUGGAGCAAAUCCUAAAAAGACCGGUCUCAGUUCGGAUUGCAGGCUGCAAUUCGCCUGCAUGAAGUCGGAAUCGCUAGUAAUCGCAGGUCAGCAUACUGCGGUGAAUACGUUCCCGGGCCUU
This 269-nucleotide ribosomal RNA is filed under the name uncultured Bacillus sp. Its description in RNAcentral is "partial 16S ribosomal RNA". It matches the Rfam family "Bacterial small subunit ribosomal RNA", at positions 1113 to 1382 of the family's 1533-position model. The record is from RNAcentral. Lineage: Bacteria; Bacillati; Bacillota; Bacilli; Caryophanales; Bacillaceae.